ACCAGUGUGGCUCAGUGGUCAGAGCAUCGCCCCACACACUGAAGAGCCACAGGUUCAAUUCCUGGUCAAGGGCA
Molecule: non-coding RNA, 74 nt
Organism: Myotis davidii
Lineage: Eukaryota; Metazoa; Chordata; Mammalia; Chiroptera; Vespertilionidae
Source: Rfam